UGGGGAAUAUUGCACAAUGGGCGCAAGCCUGAUGCAGCCAUGCCGCGUGUGUGAAGAAGGCCUUCGGGUUGUAAAGCACUUUCAGCGAGGAGGAAGGUGGUGAACUUAAUACGUUCAUCAAUUGACGUUACUCGCAGAAGAAGCACCGGCUAACUCCGUGCCAGCAGCCGCGGUAAUACGGAGGGUGCAAGCGUUAAUCGGAAUUACUGGGCGUAAAGCGCACGCAGGCGGUUUGUUAAGUCAGAUGUGAAAUCCCCGGGCUCAACCUGGGAACUGCAUUUGAAACUGGCAAGCUAGAGUCUCGUAGAGGGGGGUAGAAUUCCAGGUGUAGCGGUGAAAUGCGGUAGAGAUCUGGAGGAAUACCGGUGGCGCAAGGCGGCCCCCUGGACGAAGACUGACGCUCAGGUGCCGAAAGCGUGGGGAGCAAACAGGAUUAGAUACCCGUGGCUAAGUCCACGCUGUAAACGAUGUCGAUUUGGAGGUUGUGCCCUUGAGGCGUGGCUUCCGGAGCUAACGCG
RNAcentral lists this ribosomal RNA (518 nucleotides) under uncultured bacterium. RNAcentral describes it as "partial 16S ribosomal RNA". It matches the Rfam family "Bacterial small subunit ribosomal RNA", at positions 355 to 859 of the family's 1533-position model. The record is from RNAcentral.